GCUUCUUCUGUAUUACCGGAGUGCCUAGACCCCAGUUCCUAACUUCCUAAAUUUAGAGAGUCACCGAAGCUUUACACAGCCUAACAACUUAACUCCAGUUCUUUGGGAUGUAUAUAUAUUUUAAGUAUUUCUUCGUUUUCCCUGCAAUUUUGCCGAGUGAAAGGGGCUCUUGCAAUGGCUACUGGCUUGGAAGAGUAUGAACUUCUUAAACUGUCUGCUGUUAUUAUAGACUUAAGGUAGAGUUGAUUUCAGAACUUAGUAACUAUUAAAUCAGCUACGCUCUUUUUAUUUCAUUCUGACCUAUGCCCACAAUUCGAAUAGACCAGGCAAAGGGCUACUUAAGAGGACAAAAAAAUCUACCGUGGAAACAACGACUUGCCAUAAUGGUUUGCACCUCGAAGUCCUUCAUCUCGGAAUCCUGCAUCCAAAUUGCAUGCCAGGUGCUAAGUUUUGUUUUUGUUUUUUUAACCUAAGGUAUCAACAGGUCCUUAGGUAAAAUACUAUAUUGAACGUUGAAGUAAAAUCAGUAUUGCAGUAUU
This 539-nucleotide long non-coding RNA is filed under the name Bos taurus (domestic cattle). Its description in RNAcentral is "long non-coding RNA NONBTAT024784". The record is from RNAcentral. Lineage: Eukaryota; Metazoa; Chordata; Mammalia; Artiodactyla; Bovidae.